RNAcentral lists this ribosomal RNA (406 nucleotides) under uncultured bacterium. RNAcentral's name for it is "partial 16S ribosomal RNA". It matches the Rfam family "Bacterial small subunit ribosomal RNA", at positions 30 to 526 of the family's 1533-position model. The record is from RNAcentral.
AUUGAACGCUGGCGGCAGGCCUAACACAUGCAAGUAGAACGAGUGGCGGACGGGUGAGUAAUGUCUGGGAACCUCCCCGAAGGAGGGGGAUAACUACUGAAAACGGUACCUAAUACCGCAUACCAUCGGAUGUGCCCAGACGGGGUUAGCUAGUAGGUGGGGUAAAGGCUCACCUAGGCGACGAUCACUAGCGGGUCUGAGAGGAUGACCAGCCACACUGGAACGUAGACACGGCCCAGACUCCUACGGGAGGCAGCAGUGGGGAAUAUUGCGCCAUGGGCGCAAGCCUGAUGCAGCCAUGCCGCGUGUAUGAAGAAGGCCUUCGGGUUGUAAAGUACUUUCAUCGGAGAGGCGUUACCCGCCGAGGAAGCACCGGCUAACUCCGUGCCAGCAGCCGCGGUAAUUC